UAGGAAGGGGAGGGAGAAGUUUAACUUGGAGGCAAAGGGUAAACAUAGCCAUUGGAGCAGCUAAAGGUAAGUCCUCACUCUGAGCGAGAACCAUGCCUUUUUUCGAUUUUAUAAAUUUAGAUUAUUUUAGAGGUUCAGCUAUUGUCAUUCGAGGAGCCAAUUUUUACUAAAAUACGAUUACUUAGAAUGUAAUAAGCAUUGAAGAUAUAGCCUCAUCAUACGAUAAAAUUGAAAUUUUGUAUGAUCAUAUUUGCAAUUUGUCGAAUAAAAAAAUUGUUACAAUUCAGAAAGUGACAAUUUUGCGGACUAUGACCUAAUUUGUUUCAUUUUAUUGAAUGGAGAAAGAUGCAGACCCUACAUUUAUUUGUUCAAUUUCAAACAAGGAAGAAUUUUCUCUUUUAUCUUGUUAAUAUAAAUUUCUUAAUAAUCGGUACGAUCAAUAUAAUAGUGCUGUGAAAAUGGGUCGGCUUGAGAUAAGUUCCUCAUUGAUUAUGGCCCCCUCAAACUGCUCGAACCACCCUUUUUUUCUGUUUUUUUUCAGUUUUCUAUAAAUCAUUUUUCAUUAACAUUACUUUCUAAUGAAAUUAGGGUUAGCUCACCUCCAUGAAGACGUCAAUCCAAGCAUAAUCCACAGGGACAUAAAACCAAGCAACAUCCUAAUUGGAGAAGAAUUUGAGGCCAAAGUAUCAGAUUUUGGUCUUGUUAGAUCAGGCCCGGUUGGGGACCAAUCUCAUGUUAGCAGCCAAGUUAAAGGGACACCAGGCUAUCUUGAUCCAGCCUAUUGUUCAAGUUUUCAUCUCACUCCAUUUACGGAUGUCUAUAGCUUUGGGGUCAUACUUUUGCAACUUGUUUCUGCUAGACCUGCACUUGAGUCAACUAGAAAUCAUACCAAUUUGCACAUCAUUGAUUGGGUAAGCCAAAAAUAUCGAGUUAAAUAUUUCGUUUUUUGUAUAACUGUCGUUCGAAGUGCUCAUUUUACUACUAAAUUAAGCUUUCUAUGAUAGUUAAAAUAUGACGGAUAAUUUAUUUAUUCGAAACUAUGCAGGCAAGGCCUAGUAUUGAACGAGGCAACAUUGAGGAAAUAUUGGAUGCUAAUCUCUUAAUAGAAGGAUGUAACAUGGAAAUGAUGAUGAAAAUGGGACAACUUGGCUUAAGAUGUGUGAUGAAAGAGCCGAAAAAAAGGCCUACAAUGACUCAAGUGUGGCAAGAACUUGAGGACGAUCUCUAUUCAAUGGACAACUUCCUACCCAAAAAACCUCGUAAGAUGGAUUCCAAAAGACUCAAGGGCAUUUCUAGUCAAUCAAUAGGACAUCAGAGUCAUCCUUCGAUAACUGAUCAAGAUUACUCUCAAAGCAUUAAUGUGAGUGUUGAUGGCAUUAAACUUCAAAGAUUUCGUGUAGAUUUGGAUGGCCUCUCUAUUCAAAGUGGAAGUUUGAGGUGUUUAGAAACAAGUGAGAGUAUAGAAGAUGAUUUUAGCUUUCCUCGCUAAUCUUAGGUUCUACAAUGACCUAAUUUGAGAAUCAAUAUUAAUAUGAACCUUUUAAGUGACAAAACGUGUAAGAUUUAUCUAUUAUACUAUAACAAAAGUAGUUUUUUAUGGCAUUUGUUUA
RNAcentral lists this long non-coding RNA (1610 nucleotides) under Olea europaea subsp. europaea. The record is from RNAcentral. Lineage: Eukaryota; Viridiplantae; Streptophyta; Magnoliopsida; Lamiales; Oleaceae.